AUUUUAAAGCUUUGGUGGAUACGGAUUGGCUCGCGUGACAUUAGCUAGAUGGUAAGGUAACGGCUUACCAUGGCUACGAUGUCUAGGGGUUCUGAGAGGAAGAUCCCCCACACUGGAACUGAGACACGGUCCAGACUCCUACGGGAGGCAGCAGUGAGGAAUAUUGGACAAUGGGCGCAAGCCUGAUCCAGCCAUGCCGCGUGAGUGAAGAAGGCCUUCGGGUUGUAAAGCUCUUUCGGCGGGGAAGAAAUCGCAUUCUCUAAUACAGGAUGUGGAUGACGGUACCCGAAUAAGAAGCACCGGCUAACUACGUGCCAGCAGCCGCGGUAAUACGUAGGGUGCGAGCGUUAAUCGGAAUUACUGGGCGUAAAGCGUGCGCAGGCGGUUUCGUAAGACAGACGUGAAAUCCCCGGGCUCAACCUGGGAACUGCGUUUGUGACUGCGAGGCUAGAGUUUGGCAGAGGGGGGUGGAAUUCCACGUGUAGCAGUGAAAUGCGUAGAGAUGUGGAGGAACACCGAUGGCGAAGGCAGCCCCCUGGGCCAAUACUGACGCUCAUGCACGAAAGCGUGGGGAGCAAACAGGAUUAGAUACCCUGGUAGUCCACGCCGUAAACGAUGAGUACUAGGUGUUGCGGGUAUUGACCCCUGCAGUGCCGGAGCUAACGCAUUAAGUACUCCGCCUGGGAAGUACGGUCGCAAGACUAAAACUCAAAGGAAUUGACGG
RNAcentral lists this ribosomal RNA (724 nucleotides) under uncultured bacterium. RNAcentral's name for it is "bacterial SSU rRNA". It matches the Rfam family "Bacterial small subunit ribosomal RNA", at positions 198 to 916 of the family's 1533-position model. The record is from RNAcentral.